UACAUGUGGUCCAAACGUUGCUCGGAAUCAUUGGGCGUAAAGCGCGCGUAGGCGGUUGCUUACGUCGGAUGUGAAAGCCCUCGGCUUAACUGAGGAAGUGCAUCCGAAACUGAGCAGCUAGAGUACGAAAGAGGGUCGCGGAAUUCCCGGUGUAGAGGUGAAAUUCGUAGAUAUCGGGAGGAACACCGGUGGCGAAGGCGGCGACCUGGGUCGAGACUGACGCUGAGGCGCGAAGGCGUGGGGAGCAAACAGG
RNAcentral lists this ribosomal RNA (253 nucleotides) under uncultured bacterium. RNAcentral's name for it is "partial 16S ribosomal RNA". It matches the Rfam family "Bacterial small subunit ribosomal RNA", at positions 524 to 776 of the family's 1533-position model. The record is from RNAcentral.